This is a long non-coding RNA of Thunnus maccoyii (southern bluefin tuna), 1935 nucleotides long. RefSeq lists it as uncharacterized. The transcript is spliced from 2 exons. NCBI's taxonomy places the organism in Eukaryota, Metazoa, Chordata, Actinopteri, Scombriformes, Scombridae. The record is from RefSeq and is a predicted model, not a curated record.
UUGCAAAAUGCUUGCACGCACAGGCAAUCUUACACACAUGCGGAAAGAUGUGUGGACGUAUGCACAAAUGUGAGCUUAACACACAUUUAUUGUUUAAAUGCACACAUACAUAUGCACACAGUGGAGACUGUGAGCUAUACAGCUGGGUAUGAUGUUGAAAAUGCAUUUCAGGUGUCAACAGAGCAGAGGGAAAUCAAUGUGUCAUGUUAUUACUCACAUGUAACCAUUCAAAUACUUUUAUGUAGUUGCUUUUUGGAAAAUGUUCUCACAGGGGAAUGGUGCCAUACAAUAGCAUCACCACUUCAUUUCAAAGAGUAACUGCACCUGAAAAAGUAAUUAAUAAGUCUUCACUGUGCAACAGCAUGCAAAAACAUAAAUGAGGCUCUCAUUUAUACAUACAACCGAUACACAGUGAUUUGAAUCACAACAUCAAUUUUUUUUUUUUGCCUUAUUGGGCUAUGUAAACUAUAAAUUGGAUAGCCUCAUAUUGUUAACAAAAGUCAGAAAAACUCAAAGAAAAAAAUCAUAGAAAAUAACCACAAAAGCAGGGUGAGACCAAGUCCAUAUUUAAAUCUCCAGGGGUAAGGAUUUUCAAAUGAUCAAUACAAAAAUCAUAGUUACCCAUAAUUUAUGUUAGCUGUGUGUCUUUUUAGCUAACGUUGAAUUAACAGUAACUUAACCCUUAUAAUGCUACAUUCACUCAUUGUGCCCUGUUUUGGAUUAUUAUUAUAAUUAUUAUUAUUAUUAGUUGACAGGAUUACUAGUAGUUUAAUCCCUCAAAUGCUAGCUUUGUGUCAUGCUAGCUGCAUGUUAGCUGGCAUUUUACAGUAAAGCCCCACCAAUUUUAUGGUAACAUUGGAUUGCUGGUAGCUUAGCCCCGCUAAUGAUGUUAGCUUUAUGCCAUGUUAGUUAGCUGACAUUUCUGGUUGUGUGCUUUAGUUGUAAUUCGAGUCAAAGAUAUUGGGACUUUCUGAUGGCUACAAUAACUCCCAGUAGGCAAAAAGACCACGAACAUGUCAAUAAACCUGUUGUGGCAUAAUGGCCACCAUUGCUGACUGUUAAAGGAAAUCCAGUAUCACUAAUAAAAUUGUUUUAUCCAAUUUAAGAGGAGUUACUGUGUGUCUGUAUCUGAUUUUACUUGCUAAGAAUCCAAUACAAAUAUGUAACUCCAUAGAAAAUUAGUUAUUUAGGCUUUAUUUCCAUUUAAAUGUUGUGCCAAGGCUGGCAAUAAUGUGUGGCACUCCCAUGUUGGUUUUUCCAUUUUUCCGCCCACAUGGUGUGAAUUUAGUAUUAGCCCUGUCAUUGUGUAAUCUUUCUUGAUGUGUAAUCUUGAUCUGCCAGCAGCACCAAUCCACUAGCUGCUUGUCCUGUUAGCUGACAUUUGCAAACUAGCCAAGAAUGUGAAUAAAUCUCUCUCUAAUCCUUGUUAUCACCAGCAGUUCAGCCCAUGAGAGGAAGACACCGACUAAUGUUUUAAAAAACUUUUGAUCUUUCUCUCCCUGGUGCAGCCAUGAAUAAAUCACAAGAAAGUGACAAAGAGGCUGCAGUGGCCAAGAGACACUGAAGGACUGAGGGGGAGGAGGAGGAGGCUCUCAGCUGACUUUCAACUGGCCUGUUGCAAGCGUGGGAAGAAUGGCUGCCAUUGGUACAACACACAGCUGUACAGUUGGCCUGGCGGAUGGUGGAUAAAACAUCAUGGCUGUGCUAGUUUGUGGAUUUAUGUCUUAUGUUUAUUUGUGAAAGAAACUAGGAAUUGCCUUCAUGUGGUAAAUUGAGUCAGUUUAAUUGUUCUUGUGGUGGUGACAUAUUGUCAACAGUCUCUAGCUGUGUUUUAGCUCACUUUCCCGGUAUCUGCAUGUUUCUUAGUCUCUAUUAUGGGAAUAAGAAAUUGCUGUGAUGAAUUGAAGUUGAGCAACACAUACACAAAUAUCUUAA